ACUGAAUCACGCUCAAGGGAUGGCCCUGUGAUACCGCCAAUUAAUCGUCGUGGGACAGGAGCCCAAUGAGACACUAUAAGAACUGUUGUGGACCAGGGGUCACAGCGAAGGGAUCCGAGACGGGGACAACUGUCAAACUGGCAAACAGCGAGGGGUUAAAACCAGGGAGAAGCAGGGAAAAACAAACACACCUCAAACACCUCACUCAAAAUGAGACUGCUAAUCAAAUUACAAAACGGAGGAAGAAAUCUAACACAGAAAGAAUAUGAUCUUUCUGGAACAGUUUAGCAAAACCUUUAAAUGUGUUUGACGACCAGUAGUUAAUUGUUCUGGGUAUUUAUUUCAUCCCUUAACGUAGUGGCUGAAAACCACAGGAGCAGGAACAUACUGGGUCGGCAGGUGGGUGGGGCCAGUCUGUGGUUGGCAAACUGAGGAACGGCACCCCCUGGAGGUUCGCUCCCUUCCAGGCGAGGCAUCUGGGCAACUGGAACCCCUGGGGGCUCCUGGUGCGCCCCUGUUUCUUCACGUGCACUUCCUGCUUGGCAGCUGUAGGCAGCUGGACUUCGAAAAGCCAGUUCGGGGCACCCUCGGUCCUAAGAAGGGGGCCGAGCCAAGGGAAGCCUGGCUCAUUUUUAUGACCUAGCCUUACAGAUCUCACGGCAGCUUAAGUUGCAUUCUUUUUCUUAGAAGUGAGUCACUAAGGUCAGUACAGGUUCAAGGGAAGGCGAAUUAGAUCGCAUCGUUCCAUGGAAGGCAGGCCAAAGAUUUUGCGGGCGUGUUUUCAGUCUGCCACGGUUGGCUCUCUGGCCUCAAAUUAUGUACUUGUCUUCCCCCCACGUGCAAAUUACAUACAAGCUUCCCAAUAUCUCUAAUAGAGGACUGACUCGGGUUCGAGGUCCAGAACCUCCUUUUCUCUGCCUGGUUCCGAGGUGGAUGAUGGCUCGGGCACAGCUUCUGACAUAGCACCUCAAGUACAGCGUCUCUCAGUCCGAGACCCGGGAACCGGGCACCCAACAUACACUGGUGGGACAGGCCCAGAAAAACUGCUGUAUGAGAGAAUGACUCUCAUCCGUAACAAGGAACCAACUUCUAGAAACACAUACCCAGAAAUCUCACCGACUGGGCUUCACAUGAAGCCACUGAGAGACAAGAAAGUCAAGAUUCUUAGAAGUCCUAACAGUUAAUGGAGAGGAUCUGUGAGGCAUGACCUUAAGAUCCUUCUUCUUCUCUUUUUUUUUUUUUUUGAGAGAGAGAACGAGAGAGUGCUCGCGCGUGUGCACGUGUGCGUGGGAGAAGGGCAGAGGGAGAGGGAGACAGAAUCUUAAGCAGACUCCACAGCCAACACAGAGCCCAAUUCAGGGCUUGACCCCACGACUGUGAGAUUAUGAUCUGAGCAGAAAUCAAGAGUCAGAUGCUCAACCGACUGCCCCAUGAUCCUUCUUCCUUUUGUACUGCCUCCUACCAUUUAAAAUUGCAUGCUGAUACAGUUCCUUUAGAAACAUAAUGGGUUUCCUGUGAAUCAAUUUACAAAAUCCAGUUCAUUAAAAAAAUUACAUACACAAGCAUCAUUGAGAGGCUUCCACUUGGACAGCAGAGAGACCACAAACUGAAGAUUCCUAGAAACCUUAUUGUACUCUUAAGAUGCUUUGAUGGUAUUUUGUCUGGCUAACUGGUUUUCUGAGGCAGUGUCUCGGAUCUUUCCGACAUAUUAACCAGGGACUUACAGUCCUACUUUGGAUGGGAUCUUUUAUCAAUCUGAAUAUCUUGGAAAUCAUGGGAAUAAGAACAAUUUUAUUUUGAAGCCAGCAAGUCCUGGAUCCUUGUAGGUCUUUCUUGAGCUUCUCUCUUUCCUCUCACAUUUUGUGGUAAUUUGUUACAGCAGCAACAGAAAACUAAUUCAGCUAUCCAGUCUCUUUAGUUUUCUUUAACCUAAAACAGUUUCUCAGUCUUUCUUUGUCUUUCAUGACUUUGACACUUUUGAAGAGCAUUUUGUUGAAUAUCCCUCAAUUUACAUUCAUUUGAUAUUUCCCCAUGACUAAAUUCAGGUCAUAAAAUUGUGGCAGGAAUAUCGGUGAUGGAAAAUGCUAUUGUGUUCUUCUCAAUGUAGUCUAUUGAUUUAUCCCAUUACUGAUGAGCUUAAAUUUGAUCAGUUACAGACAAUUGAUUUGUUCCAUUACUAAUGAGGUUAACUUAAAAAAAAUUUUUUUAAUGUUUAUUUAUUUUUGAGAGAGAGAGAGAGAGGAAGAAAGAAAGAUGGAGUCAACAUGAGUAGGAGAGGAGCAGAGAGAGAGGGAGACACAGAAUGUGAAGCAGGCUCCAGGCUCUGAGCUGUCAGCAUAGAGCCCGACACGGGGCUCGAACUCACCAGCUGUGAGAUCAUGACCUGAGCUGAAGUCAGACACUUAACAGGCUGAGCCACCCAGGCACCCCACUAAUGAGGUUAACUUUAAUCAGCUGUGUAAAUUGGUGUACUCUGGGUUUCUCUAUAGCAAAGUUACUCUUUUUGUAAUUAAUAAAUAUUUUGUGGUAAGGUACUUGAAUCCUACAUGCUGCUUCUCAGCAAUACUUAGCCCACUAGUUUAUAUCUGUUGAUGAUUAUCUUGUGAAGUAAUUAUCACUAUGAUUGUUGCCAGUUCAUAGGUUUUUAAUUUCAUUACCCUUCUUCUCUAGUCAUUAGCUGGAAUCCCACUUCCCUACUUAUUUAUAUUUGUUCAUUUAGUUUUUAUUAUCAUGACCUUUUAAAUUCUUUUAUUCCAUGGCUUUUAAUCUGUUGCUGUAUUGGUUUGUUUAUUUUCGCCCAUGUUUUCCUAAAGUAGGCUAGUGGGUGCCACUUCAAAGUGGCUCCUGUGUCAUUUUUCACAUGUUCCAUAUCAUCCUUUGAACAUUUCUUUACUUUCUGGUACCAGGUGUUUCAGGACUGUCUUGUUGUUCUUUCCUUGCUCCAAGUCUUAGAAUUAGCCAUUUUCCAGAGAGCUCCGAACUGGUUAGUGGAGAAUGGUACUUAGAAACCAAGAUCUGGAUAUUUGUGUGCUCACUGCUACUCUGUAUCACUGCUUCUAACCCCUCUUGGAGGCAGAGUUAGGAAAUAUAUGUGUGAGUGUGUGUGUGUGUGUGUAUUUACACAUACAUACCUCUGUCUUUGUAUUACAUGUACACACACUGUUUUUUAUGUGUGUUGUGAACAUAUACCCCUAAAAAUAUUAAUUAAGGGAUUAAAAAUUAUUUUCUCUUCCUCA
Long non-coding RNA from Neofelis nebulosa (Clouded leopard), 3236 nucleotides. RefSeq lists it as uncharacterized. The transcript has 2 exons. The record is from RefSeq and is a predicted model, not a curated record. NCBI's taxonomy places the organism in Eukaryota, Metazoa, Chordata, Mammalia, Carnivora, Felidae.